This is an RNA transcript of Vigna radiata var. radiata (mung bean), 2068 nucleotides long. RefSeq lists it as uncharacterized. The transcript is spliced from 16 exons. The record is from RefSeq and is a predicted model, not a curated record. NCBI's taxonomy places the organism in Eukaryota, Viridiplantae, Streptophyta, Magnoliopsida, Fabales, Fabaceae.
AAGCAAAAUAGAAAAGCUUCUUGUAAACGACGAAGGUGUUAUAAAUAUCACAACACCGACGAGGGUGUGUUUUUCUCCGAAGCUUUGUUGGCGGCAAAGCAAAUCUGUAUUGCGAUGGCGCCUACGAAGCUAUUCUUCUUUGCGUUUUCAGUAGCCCUAAUUUUCUCCAUCGUCGGGGCCGAGGCUGAUGUUUCCGUCGAAGGAAGCGUAGCAGAGCCUGAUACCUCUGCCUUCAAGAUCCAAUUAGAUCAACUCAAUUCUAAGAUCCGAAUUCUCGAAUCUGAAAUCAGAGAAAAGUCAGAAGAAGUGAAGAGGAAGGACGAAAUUGUGGCCGGAAAAGAAAAAAUUAUUCAGGAUAAAUCGGUCACCAUACAGUCCCUGCAGAAUGAUAUUGCUUCUCUCCAGAAAAAAGGGUCAUUGGAUGCUGAAGAGCAAGUCGGAAAGGCUCAUGCACGGGCUGUUGAACUACAGAAGCAGGUGGACCAGCUUAAAGGGGAACUAGAAACUCAAAACAGGGAGAAAGGGAACUGGGAAACUCGAGUGCUUGGGUUAGAGAAAAAAGUUAAUGACUUGAACUCAAAAUUAGAAGAUCUUCAAAAGAUAAACCAGGAGCAGAGGACACAGAUUCAGAAAACGGAACGUGCUCUUAAAGUUACUGAGGAAGAGAUGGUGAAGGCUAAGUUUGAGGCAGCUGUCACAGAAGCAGAGUUGAGUGCGACACGUGGUGCUUGGCUUCCACCUUGGCUUGCUGUACACUAUCUUCAUAGUAAGUCUUGUGUUGAGACUCAAUGGAACAAACAUGGGAAACCUGUUUGGGAAAAGGUUGCUCAAAAGGCCCUAGAUAAGAAGGCACAAGCUGGAAAGUGGGCUGAACCUCAUGUGGAAACCAUUAAAACUAAAUGGGUCCCUGCUGUAAAAGAACAGUGGUCUGUGGUGAAAACAAGUGCUGAACCGCAUUUGCAAUUAUUGACCACAAAAACUGUUGAAGGUUAUGAGGCUACCAGGAAGACAAUUUCUCCCCAUUUAAGCAAGGCAAAAGAAUUUGUUCAUCCUUAUUAUCAGGAAGCUAGAAAGUUCAGCAAGCCAUACAUUGAUCAGAUUGCUGUUGCAGCUAAACCUCACGUUGAUAAAGUACAAGUGGUUUUGAAGCCCUACACAAAUAAAGUUGUUCAUAGUUAUGGGAAAUUUUUGGAAUCAGCUACUACAUAUCAUCGCCAGGUCCAAGCCACUGUCCAAGAGACACUGAAAAAGCAUGAGCUCACCAGACCUCUUGCUACUAAAGAGUUAGAAUGGUUUGCGGCCUCUGCUCUUUUGGCUCUACCCAUUAUUUUUGUGGCUAGAGUGUUUUCAGCUGUGUUCUGCAAUAAGAAAGUGAAUAAACCUUAUCGAAGUGGAAAUAACCAUGCGCGACGCAAAGCUAAACGAAGCCAUCCAGACAAGCACACAUCAUAAAGAUUCAUGAUGCAAAAGUGUGCUUUGAUAUCUUUACCAUAAACUGCUACAUAUAAUGCUUGUGUGGCUCAAUUUGCUUUUAAAUUUUCAUGAGGAACAUUAGUUGUUACUGAGUAGGAUUCAUGUGGGUUAUACCAAAUGAUAUGAGUUCUACUCCUUAUUUAACAGGUCCCACAUUAUUUUUAUCCAAUAACAGAGUUGUUCUUUGGAAAAUAAUGUUUGAUUCGUAGCUGUGUAUAUGGAAAUGUUUUUGUUGGUGAAGAUAGUUUUUCCUGUUCGCAUGGGCUUAUGGAGGGCUAUAUCUUUCAUGUCAUGAGGGGUUUUGAAUAUUUGCUUCUCUUUUUCUGGGUGAGGUAACUUUAGGAUGUUUCACUGUAGAGUUGGGCACACACUAUGUUUAGGUGUUAUGUAUUGUCUUGUCACUGUGUUAUAUUUGUUAUUAUACUUGGCACUCCCAUUUCCUGUCGGUUUUGUUUUCUUAAAUUCUUGACAGUAGAAGUGUUUCCACUUGAUGUAUGUUCAUUAGAAUCAGAAUUUUUCUUUCUAUCGCGGUUUUCUGCGGAACGUUAAAUUUAUUUUUAGAAGAAACUAAUUCAUCAGUUAUUCUUCAUUGGAA